Long non-coding RNA from Arabidopsis lyrata subsp. lyrata, 1479 nucleotides. RefSeq lists it as uncharacterized. Lineage: Eukaryota; Viridiplantae; Streptophyta; Magnoliopsida; Brassicales; Brassicaceae. The record is from RefSeq and is a predicted model, not a curated record. The transcript has 4 exons.
AUUGUGGAUUGGACAUCUUUACUUCUAAUUAUCUAUGUUCCUUGCAAUGACAAAAUCUAAUCUUUUUUUCUCUUAUGCUUUGCAGAUUUUUACCAACCACUUGAAAAAGAUGACCUUGAGAACAGAGUCUUACAAUCGACGUAAUGCUAUCCUCUGAAUUGCCCGUUGUAUGUAAAAUUGAAUGGGAGUUUCACAAACUUGAGGUGUGCGUUUGGAUUUUCGGUAACCACAAAACUUAAAAUCACUUCUUCAUUUAGUUCAAGAGAGUUCUAUUAGUAAGAGUAUUCGACAGCAAUGAAACCUAAGCGAGAUGUAAAAAUGUAACAUGACUGUGAAUCUGUGAUAAUAUAUGUAAGCUAAAUUUCUGUGAAACUAUUUGCACGUACAGUAUUAUUCUUGCAGCCAAAAGAAGCUCGAAUGAAAGCAGUAGAGGUAUUCUUCGCUGUCUCUCAGCUUUGCGACGCUUCCGCUUUGCCUGGCUCAAUUUUCUAUUGGUCUUGGCGUAAGAUUUAUCCAGCUCAUUCUCUGACUUAAAUCACUUUUAUGUUUCUAUGGAUUAUAAUAUGUUGAUUGUAGCAUUAAGUUGAAGUAAGGAGCUUCCCAGAGUGAGUCAAUAAAGGCUCUUGCAUCAAACAAUGAAGGAACUUACAUAGUUAGUAGUGGAUCCUUUGGAGAUAUUUAUAAUAAGAUUACAAUUACAAUUGGGAAGUUGCUUAAGUAGCCUUUUGUCAUGAGUAGCAUUAUAGAAAAGUGGAGGUACAAUCUCAUCUUCGGAAACCUAAUAUACGUUGACGUUAUGGUUAUUACUAUGAUCAAAGUUUUGGAUAUUUUAACAAAUGGACGAGGAAAGACAGAAAAAGGAGAAGAGAAGGAAGUUCUUGAGUGGCCUUUCACUUCAGAGACUCAAGAAGACAAGAACGAUUCGAGAAACCAUUUUGGUAGCCUCACGGGUAAACAUGAAUAAAAAGAAGCACGGUACACCGUUUAAGCGAUUUGCAAUGGAUGAAAGUGAUGGAGAAUGAAGAAGAAGAUGCUUCAAAAUUCUAAGAAACGAAAGAGAAGGGACACAAAGACACCAACAAGUAAUGGGUCAAAGGCAGAGGCAAAGACGAAGAGUCGAGUGGAAGCAAAAAGGAAAAAUAAGAAGAAGAGGAAGAGACAAAGGAGGAGAGUGGGAAAGAGAGUGAAGAAGAAAAUGAGAAGCCAUUACAUAGUUGGAAAACUUAUAAGAAUAAACGGUCCAGAUACUCUUUUAUGACUUCUUCACCUAACUCUAGAGGUAAAGGUAGUUCAAACGGAAGUAAACGAAACUGAGAAUAAGGUUUCUUCUACAAGUAUUAGGCAUUUAAGUUGGUCUACAAAUUUUAAGCAUUAAGCCAUUUCUCAUAAAUAUGUGUCUGUUUUUGUUUUUAAUUUAGACCUUGGCAAAUUUAUAGAUUUUUUUAGAGUUUAGAGCUUAAAACGAUGAGAGGGGGCAAA